This 761-nucleotide ribosomal RNA is filed under the name uncultured Vagococcus sp. RNAcentral describes it as "bacterial SSU rRNA". It matches the Rfam family "Bacterial small subunit ribosomal RNA", at positions 736 to 1502 of the family's 1533-position model. The record is from RNAcentral. Lineage: Bacteria; Bacillati; Bacillota; Bacilli; Lactobacillales; Enterococcaceae.
GUUACUGACGCUGAGCUCGAAAGCGUGGGGAGCAAACAGGAUUAGAUACCUGGUAGUCACGCCGUAAACGAUGAGUGCUAAGUGUUAGGGGGUUCCGCCCUUUAGUGCUGCAGCUAACGCAUUAAGCACUCCGCUGGGGAGUACGACCGCAAGGUUGAAACUCAAAGGAAUUGACGGGGGCCCGCACAAGCGGUGGAGCAUGUGGUUUAAUUCGAAGCAACGCGAAGAACCUUACCAGGUCUUGACAUCCUUUGACCACUCUAGAGAUAGAGCUUUCCCUUCGGGGACAAAGUGACAGGUGGUGCAUGGUUGUCGUCAGCUCGUGUCGUGAGAUGUUGGGUUAAGUCCCGCAACGAGCGCAACCCUUAUUGUUAGUUGCCAUCAUUCAGUUGGGCACUCUAGCGAAACUGCCGGUGACAAACCGGAGGAAGGUGGGGAUGACGUCAAAUCAUCAUGCCCCUUAUGACCUGGGCUACACACGUGCUACAAUGGACAGUACAAUGAGCAGCGACACGGCGGCGUGAAGCGAAUCUCAUAAAGCUGUUCUCAGUUCGGAUUGUAGGCUGCAACUCGCCUACAUGAAGCCGGAAUCGCUAGUAAUCGCGGAUCAGCACGCCGCGGUGAAUACGUUCCCGGGCCUUGUACACACCGCCCGUCACACCACGAAAGUUUGUAACACCCAAAGUCGGUGAGGUAACCUUCGGGAGCCAGCCGCCUAAGGUGGGAUAGAUGAUUGGGGUGAAGUCGUAACAAGGUAACCA